RNAcentral lists this ribosomal RNA (496 nucleotides) under uncultured bacterium. RNAcentral describes it as "partial 16S ribosomal RNA". It matches the Rfam family "Bacterial small subunit ribosomal RNA", at positions 29 to 507 of the family's 1533-position model. The record is from RNAcentral.
AUGAACGCUGGCGGCGUGCCUAAUACAUGCAAGUCGAGCGAACAGACGAGGAGCUUGCUCCUCUGACGUUAGCGGCGGACGGGUGAGUAACACGUGGAUAACCUACCUAUAAGACUGGGAUAACUUCGGGAAACCGGAGCUAAUACCGGAUAAUAUAUUGAACCGCAUGGUUUAAUAGUGAAAGACGGUUUUGCUGUCACUUAUAGAUGGAUCCGCGCCGCAUUAGCUAGUUGGUAAGGUAACGGCUUACCAAGGCAACGAUGCGUAGCCGACCUGAGAGGGUGAUCGGCCACACUGGAACUGAGACACGGUCCAGACUCCUACGGGAGGCAGCAGUAGGGAAUCUUCCGCAAUGGGCGAAAGCCUGACGGAGCAACGCCGCGUGAGUGAUGAAGGUCUUCGGAUCGUAAAACUCUGUUAUUAGGGAAGAACAAAUGUGUAAGUAACUAUGCACGUCUUGACGGUACCUAAUCAGAAAGCCACGGCUAACUACGUG